Molecule: long non-coding RNA, 1656 nt
Filed under: Homo sapiens (human)
Lineage: Eukaryota; Metazoa; Chordata; Mammalia; Primates; Hominidae
Description: HSALNT0198690
Source: RNAcentral
AUCAAAAUGCGGAGACCGGUAGUGGCCCCGAACGGCUGGGCAUGCUGAUAUUUAUUGCAUACAAGACAAGGGAGGCAGGGUAAGGAGGGUGAAUCUUCUAAGUGGUUGAUAAGGUGAAGCAAGUCACAUGAUCAUAGGACAGGGGGCCCUUCCCUUUUAGGUAGCUGAAGCAGAGAAAGAAGGCAGCAUACGUCAGCGUUUUCUUCUAUGCACUUAUAGGAAAGAUCAAAGACUUUAAGACUUUCUCUAUUUCUUCUACCGCUAUCUACUAUGAACUUCAAAGAGGAACCAGGAGUACGGGAGGAACAUGAAAGAGGACAAGGAGCGUGACCACUGAAGCACAGCACCACAGAGAGGGGUUUAGGCCUCCAGAUGACUACACGCAGGCCUGGAUAAUAUCCAUCCUUCCACAAGAAGCUGGUGGAGCAGAGUGUUCCCUGACUCCUCCAAGGAAAGGAGACUCCCUUUCGCAGUCUGCUAAAUAGUGGGUGUCUUCCCAGAUACUGGCAUUACCAUUUGACCAAGGAGCCCUCAAGUGGCCCUUAUGUGGUUGUGACAGAGGGCUCACCUCUUGCCUUCUAGGUCACGUCUCACAAUGUCCCUUCAGCAUCUGACCCUAUACCCGCCAGUUAUUCCUAGGUUAUAUUAGUAAUGCAACAAAGAGUAAUAUUAAAAGCUAAUGAUUAAUAAUGUUUAUAAUAAUGAUUGAUAAUUGUCUAUGAACAUCUCUAUAUCUAAUUUGUAUUAUGACUAUUCGUAUUCUAUUUUCUUUAUUAUACUGAAACAGUUUGUGCCUUCAGUCUCUUGCCUUGGCACGUAGGUAAUCUUUUGCCCACAUUUGGUAGAGAAAACAUCUCUACCCUCUGCUUCUUCUUCAACCCUGUCUUCACCAUCCUUGGUUCUUUACUAUUCCAUAUGAAGGGAUAAUCCAUCUUACCUGGUGCUAUGAGAAAACACUGCUAGGAUUUUAAUGAAAUUGCAUUUAAUUUAUUGAUUAUUUUACAGGAGAGCUGAACAUUUGAAACUGAGAUUUUGCAUUCAUGAUGUAGCCUUCCAAUUAGUUAAAUCUUCAUCUAUAGCCCUUAAUAAAAUUGUUUUAGUUUCUCAUUUAAGAUGUCCCACGUCUUUAUUAUACUUAUUUCUAAAUACCUUAGAGUUUUAUUGUUAUUGCGAAAGGUGUGUUUUUUCUAUUACAUUCUCCAAUUGGUGUUGACUAUUGCAUAGCCGUGCUGUGGAUUUUUAUAUCUUCUUAUAUUAAACCUCAUUAGCUCUCAUUGUAAAGUCUUAAAAAUUUUUGUGUGUAGAAAGUUAUAUUGUCUACCCAAAAAAUGUGAAAAUUUAUGUCUCCUCCUUUCCAAUCCUCACUCCUCUUUUUCCAUCUCGUCUUGCAACGUUGGCUGGAUCAUCAGACCAUGCUGAGUGAUGGCUAUGAGAGAGUCAACUCCCUGCUUUCCACUUUAAUGGGACUGCAUCUGGAGUUUCAUGGGAAGCUUGAGCUUUGAUACAGGCUGGCUGUGGCUGCGUUUUAUCAGGUUAAGGUCAUCCUUGUAGCUCUUGUUAUCUAAGAGCCCCACGGAGGUGUCUGGACCAUACUCCAGGGGGCGGCUCUGAGCAUCCCUCGGUGUCUCCUUUAGCCAUUCUCCUUACUCUGCUCCA